This 210-nucleotide unclassified non-coding RNA is filed under the name uncultured fungus. Its description in RNAcentral is "sequence contains ITS1". Lineage: Eukaryota; Fungi. The record is from RNAcentral.
UUAAUUUAUUAAGAUUUACUCAGACUCCACGUUGAGCGGGUUUAAUGGUUCUCUGGCGGGUACGCUCCAGCUAAAGCCGGAGGGUAAGGGUACGCAGUACGGGUACACGACCCGCCAAAGCAACGGUUAAAUAGUUAACAAAGGGUGGGAGUAGGCACCAAGAGGCACCGAUACUCGUUAAUGAUCCUUCCGCAGGUUCACCUACGGAAA